Molecule: ribosomal RNA, 497 nt
Filed under: uncultured bacterium
Lineage: Bacteria
Description: partial 16S ribosomal RNA
Rfam family: Bacterial small subunit ribosomal RNA
Source: RNAcentral
GAUGAACGCUGGCGGCGUGCCUAAUACAUGCAAGUCGAGCGAACGGACGAUAAGCUUGCUUCUCUGAUGUUAGCGGCGGACGGGUGAGUAACACGUGGAUAACCUACCUAUAAGACUGGGAUCACUUCGGGAAACCGUAUCUAAUACCGGAUAAUAUUUUGAACCGCAUGGUUCAAUAGUGAAAUACGGUCUUGCUGUCACUUAUAGAUGGAUCCGCGCUGCAUUAGCUAGUUGGUAAGGUAACGGCUUACCAAGGCAACGAUGCAUAGCCGACCUGAGAGGGUGAUAGGCCACACUGGAACUGAGACACGGUCCAGACUACUACGGGAGGCAGCAGUAGGGAAUCGUACGCAAUGGGCGAAAGCAUGACGGAGCAACGCCGCGUGAGAGAUGAAGGUCUUCGGAUCGUAAAAAUCUGUUAUUAGGGAAGAACAGAUGUGUAAGUAAAUGUGCACAGCGUGACGGUAACGAAUCAGAAAGCAACGGCUAACUACGUG